GAUGAAGAACGUAGCGAAAUGCGAUACGUAAUGUGAAUUGCAGAAUUCAGUGAAUCAUCGAGUCUUUGAACGCACAUUGCGCCCCCUGGUAUUCCGGGGGGCAUGCCUGUCCGAGCGUCAUUGCUGCCCUCAAGCACGGCUUGUGUGUUGGGCCCCCGUCCCCCCCCAAGGGGACGGUCCCGAAAGGCAGCGGCGGCACCGUGUCCGGUCCUCGAGCGUAUGGGAAGCAACUUUUUUUGUCACCCGCUCCUGUAGGUCCGGCCGGCGGCCUGCCCAACCCCAACCUUUUUACUUUAACCAGGUUGACCUCGGAUCAGGUAGGGAUACCCGCUGAACUUAAGCAUAUCAAUAAGCGGAGGA
This 360-nucleotide unclassified non-coding RNA is filed under the name soil metagenome. RNAcentral describes it as "partial contains 5.8S ribosomal RNA, internal transcribed spacer 2, and large subunit ribosomal RNA". The stretch from base 1 to 120 matches the Rfam family "5.8S ribosomal RNA", at positions 35 to 154 of the family's 154-position model. The record is from RNAcentral.